RNAcentral lists this ribosomal RNA (2323 nucleotides) under Hydroniscus sp. 1 MR-2008. RNAcentral's name for it is "SSU rRNA". It matches the Rfam family "Eukaryotic small subunit ribosomal RNA". Lineage: Eukaryota; Metazoa; Arthropoda; Malacostraca; Isopoda; Haploniscidae. The record is from RNAcentral.
GGUUGAUCCUGCCAGUAGUCAUAUGCUUGUCUCAAGAUUAAGCCAUGCAUGUCUGAGUACAGACCGAUCUAAGGUGAAACCGCGAAUGGCUCAUUAAAUCAGUCAUAAUUUCUUGGAUAGUGAAAAACUCUCCUCGGAUAACUGUGGAAAAUCCAGAGCUAAUACGUGCAACUGAGCUCCGACACCGGCGAAAGCUGAGGGAAGAGCGCAUUUAUUAGAUUCAAAACUGACCGUCGUACUCCUCCGGGAUGCGUCGUUUUUGUCAUAUUGAUGACUCCGGAUAACUUAGCCGAGCGCUACGGUCUUUGUACCGGCGCCGUAUCUUUCAAGUGUCUGCCUUAUCAGCUUUCGAUUGUAGGUUAAACGCCUACAAUGGCUGUAACGGGUAACGGGGAAUCAGGGUUCGAUUCCGGAGAGGGAGCCUGAGAAACGGCUACCACAUCUAAGGAAGGCAGCAGGCACGCAAAUUACCCACUCCCAGCCCGGGGAGGUAGUGACGAAAAAUAACGAUGCGAGACUCUUCCGAGGCCUCGCAAUCGGAAUGAGUCCAAUCUAAAUCCUUGGACGAGGAUCCAUUGGAGGGCAAGUCUGGUGCCAGCAGCCGCGGUAAUUCCAGCUCCAAUAGCGUAUAUUAAAGUUGCUGCGGUUAAAAAGCUCGUAGUUGGAUUUCCUAGAUCCAAAUCGUGGGCGGGUCGCCCAUUGUACGCGCGUCGUUGCGGUCCUCUCGAGAGGCGCUCGCUGGUGCGCGCGGCGUGAUGUUUCGACCAUCGCUUUGUGUGUAUGCGUGUCCCGUUAUAUAUAGUGUGCGGUCCCUCGGAGUAGUUUCCUGCGUGGAGGCAUGCCGAGAGGUGGUCGUAUACCUGUGUGUGACGCGUUCGCCUCUGGCGCAUAUGCGUAAUCGUACUCGCGUGCAGUGUGUCCGGUUUGCGCUUAGCUUGCGGGCGGAUGACGUAGUCUUCGGGUAUUGCCCGUCCGCGUUUGGUACAAUUAAAAUUUUGUCGGCUCGCUCGGAGUGCUCUUUACCGAGUGUUCCAGGGUGGCCGACACGUUCACUUUGAAAAAAUUAGAGUGCUUAAAGCGGGCUUGAAUGUUGCUCGAAUGUUGAUGCAUGGAAUGAAGGAACAGGACCUCGGUUCUGUUCUUUUUGUCGGUUUUAUUGAACCGAGGUAAUGAUUAAAAGGAACGGACGGUGGCAUUAGUAUUGCGACGCUAGAGGUGAAAUUCUUGGACCGUCGCACGACUAACUACUGCGAAAGCAUUUGCCGAGCACGUUUUCAUUAAUCAAGAACGAAAGUUAGAGGAUCGAAGGCGAUCAGAUACCGCCCUAGUUCUAACCCUAAACUAUGCUAACUAGCGAUCCGCCGGAGUCAUUCCCACGACCCGGCGGGAAGCCCCAGGGAAACCAAAGUCUUUGAGUUCCGGGGGAAGUAUGGUUGCAAAGCUGAAACUUAAAGGAAUUGACGGAAGGGCACCACCAGGAGUGGAGCCUGCGGCUUAAUUUGACUCAACACGGGAAACCUCACCAGGCCCGGACAUUAGAAGGAUUGACAGAUUGAGAGCUCUUUCUCGAUUCAAUGGGUGGUGGUGCAUGGCCGUUCUUAGUUGGUGGAGUGAUCUGUCUGGUUGAUUCCGAUAACGAACGAGACUCUACCCUACUAACUAGUCGGCGGAUCGUAACCCUGUGCUGGGGGGAUCCAGAGUUCAUUUUGCGGAUGAUGUUGCGGCGAUGAGUGUGUGUAUGUGCGGAAACUAGCGCGCGCGGGGUGCGUGCGGCAUUGUAAAAGGUGUCGUAUGUACGAUCGUUGCGUGGGUUGUGACCGUCGUAUAUAUAUCUGGUCGUUUGCGCGUCGUACUUGCGGGUGUGACCGAGGUGACUCUUACUGGGGGCGUCCGUCGCAAUGUAUCUUCUUAGAGGGAUCAGCGGCGUCUAGCCGCACGAGAUAGAGCAAUAACAGGUCUGUGAUGCCCUUAGAUGUUCUGGGCCGCACGCGCGCUACAAUGUGCGGAUCAGCGUGCCCUCCCUCUCCGAAAGGAGUGGGUAACCCGUUGAAACCCGCACCCAAUUGGGAUUGGGGAUUGCAAAUGUUUCCCAUAAACGAGGAAUUCCCAGUAAUCGUGAAUCAUUAAUUCGCGCUGAUUACGUCCCUGCCCUUUGUACACACCGCCCGUCGCUACUACCGAUUGAAUGAUUCAGUGAGGUCAUCGGAUUGGCUCCUGCGGUUGCAAUAUACCUUAGGUUGACGAAAAGACGUCCGAACUCGAUCAUUUAGAGGAAGUAAAAGUCGUAACAAGGUUUCCGUAGGUGAACCUGCGGAAAGGAUCA